AAGAAAAUGCAUACCCUAUACGCUUACCAAAUGAUCAACACUUCGAGUCAAAUCGAAGAAUGUUAAUUCCAGCCUCACGAUCGACUCCAAAACAGUCAACAAAACACCCCUUAAUCCCUUAUCCAGAGUAACAUUCAAGUUUAAUAAAACAAAAACUUACCGUACAACACAAUUGCAUGCUUGCACAAAGGGGAAAACAUGAAGAAAGGCAACGAAAACGGAAGGAGAAUUCAAAGGAAAUUUAGAAACAAGGAUUUAUUAUUUAGAAAAGAGAGGAAAACCAAAAAUUAAGAGUGGGAGAAAAAAAAGAAAACGUCAGAAAGUUGGGAAAGAGUCCAAAAUUUGAAAAAAAAACUAAACAAAAAGAUAAUGCCUAAAAAAUCUGGUAACUCAUCUCCUUAAUUCUCUCCCUAACCUCCCACAACAACUCCACUACUCGCAAUUUCAAUUUGACUAGGACUCCACCACACCACACGGCCAAGCAAUAAAAAAUAAUUACGUUACUCGCGUAGGGACUUGAACUCCAGCCCUCCCACCCGC
Molecule: long non-coding RNA, 540 nt
Filed under: Gossypium raimondii (Peruvian cotton)
Lineage: Eukaryota; Viridiplantae; Streptophyta; Magnoliopsida; Malvales; Malvaceae
Description: long non-coding RNA (GRAI_LNC002845)
Source: RNAcentral